This 189-nucleotide unclassified non-coding RNA is filed under the name uncultured fungus. RNAcentral describes it as "sequence contains ITS1, 5.8S rRNA gene". The record is from RNAcentral. Lineage: Eukaryota; Fungi.
CCGUAUGAAACGAAACGCGAUCGAGUUCAGCAGCCGUGCCGUGACCCGGCGCGUGCUCGUUCUCCGCGAUCCGUGUCCACACACACCGAGUGCACCCUGUGAGGGACUGCGAGGUCCCCCGCGCUUUACACGUACGAACGCCUGUUUUAAACGCAUGUCGAAUCCGUGACGGAAACGUCUACGUAAACA